GAUGAACGCUAGCGGCAGGCUUAACACAUGCAAGUCGAGGGGCAGCGCGAUGUAGCAAUACAUUGGCGGCGACCGGCGCACGGGUGCGUAACACGUAUGCUACCUUCCUCUUACUGGGGCAUAGCCCGGAGAAAUCCGGAUUAAUACCCCAUAAUACCUUGAAGGGCAUUCUUCGGGGUUGAAAGUCACAACGGUAAGAGAUGGGCAUGCGCACGAUUAGCUAGUUGGUGAGGUAAUGGCUCACCAAGGCUACGAUCGUUAGGGGGCCUGAGAGGGUUACCCC
This 283-nucleotide ribosomal RNA is filed under the name uncultured bacterium. Its description in RNAcentral is "partial 16S ribosomal RNA". It matches the Rfam family "Bacterial small subunit ribosomal RNA", at positions 28 to 307 of the family's 1533-position model. The record is from RNAcentral.